Pollicipes pollicipes is the source of this 1191-nucleotide long non-coding RNA. RefSeq lists it as uncharacterized. Lineage: Eukaryota; Metazoa; Arthropoda; Thecostraca; Pollicipedomorpha; Pollicipedidae. The record is from RefSeq and is a predicted model, not a curated record. The transcript is spliced from 3 exons.
CGUCUGCCGUUGGCUGUAGCCGGGCGCCGAUUACCAUACGGCUAUAUAGGGCCGGACCGGCCGCUGGGAGCGACACUGCUGCCACCGGCCGCCGCCUUCCAGGUGACCGGCAGACUGGGGAGGACCACAGUGACGACUAGGGACACGAGGACAACAGGGCGAAGGACACCGCAGCGAGAGGACACGAGGACAGCAGGGCGGAGGAGUGUGGGGAGAGACUGAGCAGCACAGCGACGGCAAGACAUCAUCAGAGGGACGGGAAACGACUGCCAACAGAAGACAGGAGAAGACUGCCAACCAAGGCCAGGAGAGGACGGCCAGAGGAGGACAGGAGGGAAAGGCCAACGGAGGACAGGAGAGGACGGCCAACGGAGGAUAAGAGGCCGAAACAUAGAUCUGACAAUCCCAUUACGUGAUAGUUGGGGAGAAGCAAGAGCAAUGCGCCUGAAAAACGUGAUAAUGUUGAUCUUUCUACUGGGCAUCGUAUGCAGCCUUCUCUCACCGGCCACGGCACAACUGUCUGCAAUCACUCGCCGAGCGGCCAAGAAGUACGGGGGACUGCAUGUCAUUAGACCGUCGUGCAGGUGGUGCUACAGACCUUGUGGCCGACGCUGCUGCAGGAAGUGGGGCUGUAGGAGAAGAGGCUGAGACCGACGGAUGGUGACUCGGCCUCACGUGGCUGGUUCGGCCACGAACGCCGCAGCGGCGCCCCUGUCGCGCGGUCGGUGGCGACCUCAUCCGAAGCGUCACCCCGCCGCGGCGUGCCGGCUCCAUACUGCCGUGCCACCGCCGCCCGUCCGCCGCGGGGUGCCGGCUCCAUACUGCCGUGCCACCGCCGCCCGUCCGCCGCGGGGUCAGCUGACGAGACGGUCCGAGGGUUUGUCGGCGGCCCUGCCCGACCGACAGUGCACAUGCCGGGAUGGUAGGCAUCGCCUGCAUACGGCGAGCACCCGCAGUGACCUGCAUCCACCCUAACGACUGCUCCAGCCGGGGGCCCCACCGACUCAGCCCGCCAGGAGCCUGCUCGACGACUUCAGCCCGCCGGGGUCACCCCUAGGAGUGUCGAUGGCGGCAGCUCGGUCCAUUUCCAACAUUUCCCAUUAAGGUCUUCCGAAGCCUGUUGUCUGCCGCCUUUCGUUAGAGGAAGGCACACAUCACAACCGAUCUCCCUCCCUUUCCGGGGGGGGGGGG